UGUUGGGUUGAAAUCACGACAGACGAAUGGUGGGUGUCAAAGGAGAGGCGUCUGCCCGGGGCAAGUCCCGGGGACUCUCUUUUAUUGAAUAUUACAAACAUUGCCACAGGUGUGCUUGUGGCUGAUUGGCUGAUACAAACACAAAGCAUCUUGUUGCUGAUUGGUUAACAUAGGUACAAGGCGGGCAUUACAUUUUACAUUAAUCAGUGAUAGUUCAAAAGACUGGGAGCGGAGCUGGAACUAGACAGGCAUGAAUCCUCCUAAUUAAAUUGUAACUAAGAUUAAUAUAACAUGACUAAAACAAUUACUAAUGAUUGAUCAUAAGUGAAAGGUCCGUAUAUGUGGUCAGCUAUGCAUUGAGAACAGAGCAUGUUGUGAACUCAGAAUGAACUGAAGAAUUGAGGGAUUGUCUGGGUGUCCUGAGCUUGGUGUGUUUGGAACAGUAUGUGCAGAGCAGAAGGAGACUUCCCAGAAUCCAAGAGGAAAGAAGCAAGAGUUUUCAUAGUAAGCAUAGAAAGAUUGCAUAGUAAGAGUUCCCAUAAUGCCACAGUUAUGUGCAGUAAGAGAACUGCAGAAAGAGAACUUCCCUUCAUCUCCCCCUUUCUUUUCUUGUUUGCGAGGCAUUCCAGGUGGAUAAGGCAAAAAUACUUCGGGAUUAGUGGUGUGCCAGCGAAUGCCCGAAAUAAGCCUGCCAGGGUUGGUGGGACAAAAGUACUUCAGGAUACGUGGUUUGCCAGCGCAUGCCCAAAAUAAAUCCGCCCACAUCUCCCCUAAGGUUCACUGUUGGUGUUGCCAUUUCGCAAUGUAAGCAGCAAGCAGUUUGCUGGGUGGUGGAGGGGGGGAGAGAAGCCGAGAGAAAAGACUCAUGAGGCUGGGAACGCAUUGGAGGAAACAGCAUAGU
This is a non-coding RNA of Podarcis lilfordi (Lilford's wall lizard), 901 nucleotides long. The record is from the annotation of a GenBank genome assembly. NCBI's taxonomy places the organism in Eukaryota, Metazoa, Chordata, Lepidosauria, Squamata, Lacertidae.